RNAcentral lists this ribosomal RNA (371 nucleotides) under uncultured organism. RNAcentral describes it as "partial 16S ribosomal RNA". It matches the Rfam family "Bacterial small subunit ribosomal RNA", at positions 527 to 896 of the family's 1533-position model. The record is from RNAcentral.
GUAGGUGGCAAGCGUUGUCCGGAAUUAUUGGGCGUAAAGCGCGCGCAGGCGGUUCUUUAAGUCUGAUGUGAAAGCCCACGGCUCAACCGUGGAGGGUCAUUGGAAACUGGAGAACUUGAGUACAGAAGAGGAAAGCGGAAUUCCACGUGUAGCGGUGAAAUGCGUAGAGAUGUGGAGGAACACCAGUGGCGAAGGCGGCUUUCUGGUCUGUAACUGACGCUGAGGCGCGAAAGCGUGGGGAGCAAACAGGAUUAGAUACCCUGGUAGUCCACGCCGUAAACGAUGAGUGCUAAGUGUUAGGGGGUUUCCGCCCCCUUAGUGCUGCAGCUAACGCAUUGAGCACUCCGCCUGGGAGUACGGCCGCAAGGCUG